ACUUCUUUCAUCAUUUCCCCCAGGAAACCAGGCCAACCAGAGUCCUGGCAAAGCUUUAUCCUAAUCGGGAGAGCUUAGCUAAAUUGUUGAGACCUCUCAAAGCAGAGAUGUAGCAGAUACUGCAGCUCCACCCAGAUCUCGAAGGGCUGGCUGCUCCACUCACCCUAGAGUCUCCAUCCCCACAGGCAGUUGUCCUCAGGGCACAGCAGUACAUGAGGAAGCCCAGGCCAGUGACCUGCUCAAGUGUAUUUAAAAGCCCAGCCCCCUUGUUUCAAUAGGAAGAAUUCAGUGCUCCCCACAGGAUCAUCUGGGGCCUCAGGAGGUUCAACACAGUAGGUCACUUUCUCCAUCUGCUUAAUCCUGCAUUUCUCACACCCUUACCAGUGCAUUUCCUGAGAGAAUGUCCUCAAACCCCUUUCAUCCAGAAUUAUCCGGUCACAGAAUCGGCUUCCAGAGACCCAAUGUGAGACCUGGGGUCAGAAGGCAGGCUGCUGUAGGAGGAGCAGCAGGAGGGGAAGAAGCACAGAUCACAGACCCAUAUGCAGUAGCUUUCAAUCAAGAGGAAAGGAAAACGUUGGAAGCUCCAAGAAUCACUUGGGGUUGAGGGUUUUUCUUUUGAUGUUACUAGCUCUUUGUUUAAGAUGGGAAAGACUUAGUAUGCUUCACUGUUGAUGGAACAGAGAAGGAGAGGAGGAACAUACAAUAAAAGAUGAGGUAAAUGAACAGGAUGAAUUUACGGAGGUGAAAAGCUUAAGUGGUAAAUUAAGAGUUAAUCAUAGUUUAGUGUAUGGUAUGAAUAAAAAUCUGACAUUAUGUUGCAAAUGAUUAGCCACUUAUUCCAACAUGAUUCUAGACUAGUUCAUACUUUACUCACAUAUGUGCUAUUUUUAUCACAAAAUUAAUCCUCAUGUAUUCAUGAGCCUAUUUUUAGACCUUUCUAUUUCAUACCUAUUUUUCAUCAGAUGUUAAAUUGACAAAAUUACUAUAGUUUUAUAUGACAUUUUGAUAAAUAGGACAAAACCUUCCUCCUCAUUGCAGUCUUUUUAAAAUUUCAAAAUUUAUUUCAUAUAUAUCCUGUGUUUUACUAUGCAUUUUAGGUUUAUUUUCAGGAUGUUUUAUCUUUUUGUUGUUAUUCAGAAUUUUCCAUUUCUUUUCAAUUUUUUGUUUGCUGACAUGGGAAGGGCUUAUAUUUUUAUUGUAUUGCUCUUUUGGAUUUUAAUAUAUUUUUGCAUAUUGCUAUUUUAUAGAUUCUCUUACGGAAUUUUUAUGAAUUUUUGCAUUUAUUCAUUUGCUUUUAGGUUUUCUCCCAGAUAGCCAUUUUUUUCUUUUAAUAAUUUAUAUCUAAUUUUUCUUUUGUUUUUCUUAUUAGCUAGAAUCUGCUGUAUGAUCCUCUGAGAUGGAGAUUUGAGUAUAAGAAGAUUUGGGGGUUGUGCUCUUGAAGGGCAAGGGAAGAGCAAGAAACAAGAAACAAGAUUGGGCAGAUAGAGAAGGUGGGUUGUUAUGCAAACACAGUAAGGUCCUUAGCAACGCAUAUGGAACUCAAAAGCUUACAAGGCCCUUCAGAGUUUUGGCAGGAGACCCCAGCUAUCCAGUCACUGGAUGCUGGGUAUUCCUGAAAGGGGCAGGACUUUAGGUCAGGUGACCCACAUCAAGUGAUGUAGUUCCUGAAGAGAGCCGAGGGCUAGGGCUGUUGGCCAGGCAUCGCUUCCAGCAACCCCACCAGCAGUGAGGAGGUACGUGUCCCUGUUCUGAAUGGGCAUCUGGGUCUGGGUAGCAUGUUGCAGCAUUCACUGCACUCCUUCUAUGAAAGAUGAGGACAUUUUUGUGUUAUGUUCUGAAUUAACUGACAUCCACAGUUUGGAAGAAACCACUACUACAACUUACCUGCACAUUGGUGCUACUUUUCAUGUUGAAGUUAGCACGAUUUCCCCUCUUCUCCUCCCCACCCCCAGUACCCCCUCCCCUUCCAUGCCCCCCAUGCUGCACCCACCCUGUGUAAAGCUAGAGGCCUGGGAACUAGGUAGGCCAGAAUCUCUACUGGGAGGUUCCAGUUUAGAUUCCACUAAUCAGAAGCAUCUGCUUGAGGCUUGAAAAAGCAGCAGAAGUUUCAUUGUUCUUCUGGCAGCAGUAGGUAGAUGUAUGGGUUUCAGCAGAUUAGCUGGAGCAGCCUCUGGGCAUUUUUCUGUAAAUCAUCUGCCUUAGUUUGCAUAGCAUCAUAUACCCAGAGGUUUGCAACACAUCAGCAAUGUAGCCUGAGAACUUGAAACAGUGCAAAUUCUUGGACCUACUGCAGACCUAUGAAUUCAGAAACACAGUAAGUACUGAGUCCCCUGGUUGAUUCUAUAAAUCAGAGUUUAGAAUUGCUGAUGCCUGUUUUAACAUAACAGUUCGUGGUAUAGUUUUCAAACUGGGUUGGUUUUCAGAAUCACCAAGUGUGAGUCUACAAACUACAGAUUCCGUGGCCCCAUAAAUAAGACUCUCCAGGAAAAGCCCCCAUGAAUCUGUAGUCUUACAAGUAUCCCAGGUAAUUCUGAUUGUUUGUCAGGUGUAGGAAGUUGAUCAAGUAUUGCUCUUUGGUAUCCCUAGUUUCUUGUUGAAACAGCAUUCCCUUUUCCUUACAGUUGCAAAGGAAAGGGAAAGCAAUUACAUUGUAAUGAAAAGACUGUGAUUUAUUUGGAAAAGUGUGUUCACUCAGCAUAGCAUCCCUUUUAUAGAUCGUUUGCACUCUGCAAUUUAUUUAGUGUUUCUCAGCACUAACCAGGGGUGACCUCAUCACAAUUACAGUAAUCUCAUCACAAUCAUUCUAAAAGUGCAGAUACCUGGCUCCAUUGAGAUGUUUUGAACUUCAUCAUAGGGCAUAGGGCAUGUUUAGCAUGCCAGCACAUGAAAAUUUGAGAGCUGCCUAGCAAGUUUUCCCUAGUUUACACUAGACCACACAAAAGCGUAUCACCAGAUGUGUGAUCUAUACUACAAACAAAUAUAAUAGAGGGAUACCUACAAAGAGUCCUGGUAUUAACUCCAGGCUUCAGUUUCAUCAUGGGUAGGUGAGGCUGUGGAAAUAGAUUAUUUUUAAUUCCUCUUCCUGUUCUAAAAUGCUUUGAUUAAAUUGUAUAUUUAUCAACCUAUACACAUAGCCACUUCGAGAAUCAUGGAUAAUGUUAUAUGGUUUUCCUUGGGCCUCCUGAUAGGCUUCUUUAUUUAUUGCAUCGGAUAGAAGCAAAUAUUUCAACUUUAUCACUGUUGUUGGUGGAAAACAAAGGGGGAAAGAGACAAAUGCUGUAAAUAUGUGGACACUUUGAUCUGUUUCUUAGAAAAGAUUUUUACUCAGAAUAUUCAAAAUGAUCAUAUUCUUGGACAGUCUUACAAGACAGUGGAAUUAGAUUUUACUUCCAAAUGAAAAUAUUAAAUACUUAAACUUCAAAAAUUUUAAAAUAUCCAUAAUGUUCUAUUUUAUCUCAAUUGUUAAUUUUAGUGAAAUAUUUUUAUGUAAAAAUAUAAUCAAUAUUAAUAUUCUAUUAAUGGCUAAUGUGACUACAUGUUUUACCAUUUAGGACUUUUAUUAUUGUUUUUAGCUAAAUGUGUCUUCUUAACCUAUGAAUAAGUGAUGAAAACAAUCUAUACACUUAAAGAGAAACUAAGUUUGUGUUGAGAAGUAUUAGCACCAUGUUUUACACAGGUAGUUAAUAUUUGUUGAUUGGUGAUUAGUUACUCCAAAAAUUAUUUCUGACACAAAUGAUGAUGUUUAAGAGGAUCUUUGCAUGAUUUGAAUAAUAAAAAAAAUCAUCAUAACAAAUCCUUUUAUGGGCUUGCAGAUGUUUAAGGUCUUUUGCCAACAAUUUUAAUAUAUCUUAAAAUAAUUUCCGAUUGCCUCGAAAUGCUAAAAUUGAUCUGGAUAAAUUAAGAGUUCUUAAGGGCGUGGAAGUGACAACUGUGAGAUUCUGGCAAAAAUCACAUUAUUUCUUGUGUAGCAUGCAAUGACCAUCUUACUGAAAAAGGGUGUAUCAAGAAGUAUUUAGGUAAGGGUAAAAUCCAGCAGCUAUCAAAAUUGAUGGAAAGUUCUCAUGGUAUUUGGCAACUUAAUCUGGAAUGAUAAGUAAAUUAAAAGUGUUUGUUGACUUUUCCUAUCAGUUUUAAAGAUGUUCCCCUAAGCUACUUUAAGAGUCCCCAAAGUUACUUUAUUUCUGGAAUAUUCCACGAUAGAAAAGUGUUCUGAGUUAAUUACAAGGAAAGGGCAGAGGCAUGGCUAGUGGUCAUGGUCCAGUAAAGCCAAGUAUAUUAUCCUUGGCUCAGUUCAGGAUCCACCUGUUUAGCCAGAGUUAUUUUUUCCUUUUCUGGAAAGAAUUCAGCCAAUUCCUUAAUUUCGCAAUUGUAUCAUUUCAUUUUAUUCUGCUGGUUUUAUUUUUAUAUUUAUAGUUUUGGUGAUGUUUGCUACUGGUACAUUUUUAGUAGUAAAAAUCUGUGGUGAUUGGUAUGUUUUUGACCUUUGAGGAGAUUUCAUUUUGUUAUUGUUAAAAAUAAUACUGGUGUAUGGUUUGUACAAAACAUGCCAAGCACUUUGAAACAUGUAAUUUUGGUAAAUUAUUCAAUAUAAGCAUUCCUUGCUAUCCAUAAGAUUUUAUUUACCAAUUGGCGUAAAAAAUGUGCUAGGCAGAAAGAGUAUCAUAAAAAAUUUUGACAUUGUGGAAGUCUUUUUUUAAUAAUGAAAAGUUAUUUUAUAUAAAAUUAUUUAAAUUCCUGACCUGAAUUAUAUUUGACAUGAUUAAAGCAUGCAAUGAAAGUAAAAGUAUAUUUAACUUUUAACAAGAACUUUGGAAUGACGUGUAUAUAUUUGAGAAAUUUAUCAGGCUUGACUAUAAAUCAAAUUUUCCUUUGUAAUAUUUGCUGGAAGAAAAAUGCUCUUUUGUAAACUAAGCAAGUUUUCUAGAGAACUGAAAGAACAAUAAUGCCACAUAGUGAAUAAUGAAUUAGCAUGAUCAGAGUGAGAUGUUGUCGAUUCUGUCUCUGAGUUAGUAGAGAGCCAACCAGUCCCAGGAACAAAUUUUAUCAUAAGUUGCAGACUCAUUUCAGACAAAAUCAUAGAUCAGUCAUGGUUAUGGUGGGCAAAGUUCUCUAAAUCAUGAACAAUAGUGAACCAUCAAAUUAUUAUAUAUUCUUUCAUUGUAUAUGCCUCAUUCUAAAAACACGGGUUUCCUCCCUUUGUUGAAUCAGAAUAACACUUUAAAAAUAUGAAUCAGCACAAAAAGUACUUUAAGAAAACUUUUUAAGCCUUCUAUAAUAAAAUAGAAGCCUACCAUAUUUUCUUAAUCUUUGUUUUUAUUUUCAUGUUUUUGCAGUACACAAGGUGUGAAACUGAAAAGAGUCCACAUAUCUAAAAUAUUAUGGGAAUAAGAAAAGCUAAUUCCU
This 5403-nucleotide long non-coding RNA is filed under the name Sus scrofa (pig). Its description in RNAcentral is "lncRNA (ENSSSCG00000062636.1)". The record is from RNAcentral. Lineage: Eukaryota; Metazoa; Chordata; Mammalia; Artiodactyla; Suidae.